Molecule: ribosomal RNA, 253 nt
Filed under: uncultured bacterium
Lineage: Bacteria
Description: partial 16S ribosomal RNA
Rfam family: Bacterial small subunit ribosomal RNA
Source: RNAcentral
UACGUAGGGGGCAAGCGUUGUCCGGAUUUAUUGGGCGUAAAGAGCGUGUAGGCGGCCAGGUAGGUCUGCUGUGAAAACUCGAGGCUUAACCUCGAGCUGUCGGCGGAAACCAUCUGGCUAGAGUCCGGAAGAGGAGAAUGGAGUUCCCGGUGUAGCGGUGAAAUGCGCAGAUAUCGGGAAGAACACCCGUGGCGAAGGCGGUUCUCUGGGACGGUACUGACGCUGAGACGCGAAAGCGUGGGGAGCGAACAGG